GGACUUUGCAUAUUUUCAUGUAAUUUAAUACAAACAGGUCCAGAUUUGUAGAAUCACGUGCACAAAAAUUGUGUGCGCACAUUCUGUGUGUGCAGUUCUGCUCUUACCCAACAGAGUACGAGAGAGGAACAGCUUCCGUGGUCUGGAUCUGCACUGUGGCUGGGAAUCCACGUGCCAAAUGAAGCAUGAGCUAGGAUCUAGCAGUCUUCUACUACGUAGAAGAAGGAUCGCAGAGAAGUAUCAGUAAGUAGUAAUGUUGUGAAGGAAGUUAAAUUAUAAACCAAAAUCCAUGAAAUGUUGAUUGUUGGCUUCUGCCAGUGUUUCAGUAACAUUAAUGAAAGACUGCUCCGUCUUGCCUUGCUCACUCAGCGCAGCGCUUGGCCCUGAAUGCACGAGUGGGCUCCGGGGCCGUGCUGCUGAGCGCUGUGAGGGACGGUCUGCUGCCUGCACUGGGGCAUGGCACCACCAUGGUCCCAUGGGGGCACGGAAGCUCCUGGCCGCUCGGGCAGAGAGGUAUAUUUUCCAGGAGUGACUGUGAAGAAAGAGAAAUGCAGCCAUGCAUUUGUUUUUAAGAAGCGCAGAAGGCACUGUGCUCAAAAACCUUACCUGUCUGGGCUUUGGCAUACGGCAGCUGUCUGAGCAUCUACAGAAGUUGGAGAAGAUUUCCAAAACCAUAGGCAAAAUUCCCCCAUCAGCAGGAGUGUGGUCGGGGUGUCCAAGGGAUCAGGAUUCUCCGUGCAGCGUCUGACUUUGCCAGCUCUGUGUGUGGGCACCAUGGCUUGCCCUUCCGUGUGGGUUUCUGCAUAUUUCCAGGUGUUUGCACAGGAGUCUUUUGCAAAACACUUCGUUGUCUACCAGAAGUAGAAUUAAUAUCAACUUGAAUUUCUAACUAGAGAGUCGAUUUCAAACCAUAUUAGAUUUUGAAAUUAAUUUAAUCUGGAAA
RNAcentral lists this long non-coding RNA (943 nucleotides) under Anser brachyrhynchus (Pink-footed goose). RNAcentral's name for it is "lncRNA (ENSABRG00000001198.1)". The record is from RNAcentral. Lineage: Eukaryota; Metazoa; Chordata; Aves; Anseriformes; Anatidae.